Molecule: RNA transcript, 2595 nt
Organism: Musa acuminata AAA Group (dessert banana)
Lineage: Eukaryota; Viridiplantae; Streptophyta; Magnoliopsida; Zingiberales; Musaceae
Gene name: serine carboxypeptidase-like 51
Exons: 11
Source: RefSeq, a predicted model, not a curated record
ACCACCCCCCCACCCCCCCCCAAUUCCCUCUGUCCAUCUCACAUCGCCCAGCCCUGUGUCUCCCCCUGCCCUUCCUUUCCUUCCUCCCUCAUGCCAAUCUCUCCCCUCCUCCUCCUCCCCCUCCUCUUCUCUUCUUCUCUCUCUCUUCUCCUGGUCGAUGCCGCCCGCACCGCCGAUGGAUCCGAGGAGUGGGGUUACGUCCAAGUCCGACCGAGAGCGCACAUGUUCUGGUGGCUUUACCGGAGCCCGCAACGAGUCGACAACGGUUCCGCUCCAUGGCCGACCGUGCUGUGGUUGCAGGGAGGACCUGGCGGCUCGGGCGUCGGGAUCGGUAACUUCCAGGAGAUUGGGCCCGUGGAUGCCAAUCUACAGCCUCGGAGUACGACAUGGCUGCAGAAGGCCGACCUUCUCUUUGUGGACAAUCCGGUGGGCACGGGAUACAGUUUUGUGGAGGACGAGAGCCUCUUCGUGAAGAGUGAUUGGGAGGCAGCCGCGGAUCUGACCACCCUUCUGAAGAAUCUCUACCAUGAGCAGGCGUCGUCAUGGCAGAACAGCCCACUGUUCAUCGUGGCAGAGUCUUACGGAGGAAAGUUCGCCGUGACCGCAGGCUUGUCGAUCGCCCAAGCCAUCAGGGCUGGAGAAUUGAAGCUCAACCUCGGAGGUGUUGCAUUGGGAGAUAGCUGGAUCUCACCUGAAGAUUUCGUGCUAUCGUGGGCGCCUCUGCUUCUCGAUCUCUCAAGAAUUGACAUCAUAGAUGCAGAGAAAUCAAGCAUCAUGGCCGAGAAGAUCAGAGAAGAGAUAAAGAAGGAGCAGUACGGUGAUGCCACGAACUCAUGGGGCGAGCUGGAGGAGUUCAUUGUCACAAGCAGUAACGAUGUCGAUUUCUACAACUUCUUGUUGGAUUCUGGGAGCGAUCCAGUUUCACUGACAGCAGCAGCUGAAGCAUCGCAGAAGCUAUCAUUGAAGAUGUACCCGACCUACCUGAGCUCAAAGGCUUCCACCUCUCCUGACAUUUCAGGUCUCAUGAAUGGUUUGAUCAAGGAAAAGCUGAAGAUCAUUCCAAAGAAUGUUAGGUAUGUCAUUUCAUUUUACGAUCGAUUCCGAGGAAAACAGACAAUCAAUUCUCUUGGACUAAGUUUGCUGAACAGCUGGGGAGGGCAAUCUGGCCUCGUCUUUGAUUCACUCUCGAAUGAUUUCAUGAAGCCAAGAAUCAAUGAGGUUGAUGAGCUCCUUUCCCUGGGAAUCAAUGUCACCAUCUAUAAUGGACAGGUAUGGAUGCAUAACACGCCAUUUCCUCGUUACAUUUUGGUGUUCACUUAGUGAUCCUAAAAACAAAAAAGCUCAACCUGGUCUACUUGGAUUCAACUUGAAAUGCUGAUAUCCAUUGAACCCUCCAGUUGCUGUAAUGGGGCCAAUUAGAGGUGGAUAGAAACACACUGAUGUGGUUAAACAUAGUUCUAGCUACUUUUUUGUGGGCCGAACAAAGUGAAUGCCUUUUGUGUUCCCUGCAUGCUUCUGGUUGUCAUCUUCUACUGGAACUCUUCUGUUUGGCCAAUUUCGUAGGGGAUGAUUCCAACUUGAACAAAACCAAAUGUGGCCGACAUAGGUUGCAGGUUAAACACUGGUUGAGAUGUACCAGGUCGAAGACCACUCAUUAAUUACCAGAGAGAAAGAUUAUUAGAGUGAAAUAUUGACGUAGGCAUGUUGAAAGAAGACCUCUAAAUACUGUGGUCAAACAAAACAAGUUAGAGAGAGGUCUAAGAAGAUUUUACAUGAUCUUCUACUGGUACCAAACCAUACGAACAGCACAACUAAGUUUACAGCAUGUCAAGCUACGUUUAGCAGUUUGUCCUGAAGAACACUGAAAUCUGAUGAUGUUGUUUAGGGGGGGAAGUACAAUGUCUUGAUUGACCAAUUUAUGAAGCUCUCUUUGUUUCUUUCUCUGCAGAAGAGACACUCUACACACACAUGAAUUUGUCGGUUGCGCAAAUAAGAUACAAUCUGUUUUGGAGUAAGCUAAAAGAUGUAGUGAAUGUGGCUGGCUGGCUGGCUGGCUGGUACUCUUUUUCUUCUUAACAUAAGGUAUCGGUAUUUUCUUGUCCUGUACCGUAGCCAUGAAUGCAGGGCCGUAGUUCAACAUCAUCAGAUGCAUAGAGAACAAGCAACCUUAGGUCAAGCGCAAGAGAAAUUGUAAUAGCCGAAGAAAGAUGGAGAGAGACAAGGCGGGCGGAAGACAACCUCUUCUGGUUUUUUGUGCUUGCCAAAGACACUAGUGCUCGACAUAGACGUGGAACUUGUAAUAGGAAUCCUCACCACGAAGGAAGGAAGGAAGGAAGGAAGGAAGGGGUACACCCUCUUCCCUUUGGUUAUAAAAAAGGUAAGGAUGAGUACAUCAACCAACCCUAUCCAGAUUCUACGUCGACGGACUCCUCCCACGGAAGGAAGGAAGGUAAGGGGGUUGAUCUGAUUUGUGCAACCAAGGGCACUGAAGCAUGGGUUCAGAAGCUCAAAUGGGAUGGGCUGAAGAACUUUAACAGCAUGGAUAGAAAGCCUAUAUACUGCAGCAGCGAGGAAGUGGGAGUCACCAAAGGCUUC